CUCUGUGACUCCUACGGGAGGCAGCAGUGGGGAAUAUUGCACAAUGGGGGAAACCCUGAUGCAGCCAUGCCGCGUGUGUGAAGAAGGCCUUCGGGUUGUAAAGCACUUUCAGUAGGGAGGAAGGUAGUCGUAGUUAACACCUGCAUUAUUUGACGUUACCUACAGAAGAAGCACCGGCUAACUCCGUGCCAGCAGCCGCGGUAAUACGGAGGGUGCGAGCGUUAAUCGGAAUUUACUGGGCGUAAAGCGCAUGCAGGCGGCCUGUUAAGUCAGAUGUGAAAGCCCCGGGGCUUAACCUCGGAAUUGCAUUUGAAACUGGCAGGCUAGAGUCUUGUAGAGGGGGUUAGAAUUUCAGGUGUAGCGGUGAAAUGCGUAGAGAUCUGAAGGAAUACCAGUGGCGAAGGCGGCCCCCUGGACAAAGACUGACGCUCAGACUGCGAAAGCGUGGGGAGCCAAACAGGAUUAGAUACCCUGGUAA
This 478-nucleotide ribosomal RNA is filed under the name uncultured bacterium. RNAcentral describes it as "bacterial SSU rRNA". It matches the Rfam family "Bacterial small subunit ribosomal RNA", at positions 328 to 793 of the family's 1533-position model. The record is from RNAcentral.